RNAcentral lists this ribosomal RNA (525 nucleotides) under Cladophora glomerata. Its description in RNAcentral is "SSU rRNA". It matches the Rfam family "Eukaryotic small subunit ribosomal RNA", at positions 483 to 1021 of the family's 1831-position model. Lineage: Eukaryota; Viridiplantae; Chlorophyta; Ulvophyceae; Cladophorales; Cladophoraceae. The record is from RNAcentral.
AUGCGGGGCUUCUUGCUCUGCAAUUGGAAUGAGAACAAUUUAAAUCACUUAACGAGUAUCAAUUGGAGGGCAAGUCUGGUGCCAGCAGCCGCGGUAAUUCCAGCUCCAAUAGCGUAUAUGUAAGUUGUUGCGAUUAAAAAGCCCGUAGCUGAACCUCGGGCAACCCUGACGGUCCGCGUUUCGUGAGUACUGUCGUGGGUUGUCUUUCUGGCAAGACCGUAUCUCGGUGUUAACUCGCCGGGAACGGCGCUUGCCAAGGUUACUUUGAGUAAAAUAGAGUGUUCAAAGCAAGCUCGCGCUCUGAAUACACUAGCAUGGGAUAACACGACAUGACCGAUGGUCUAUCUUGUUGGCCUGUAGACCUGUUGGUAAUGGCUAAUAGGGACGGUCGGGGGCAUUCGUAUUUCGCUGUCAGAGGUGAAAUUCUUGGAUUUGCGAAAGACGAACUACUGCGAAAGCAUUUGCCAAGGACGCUUUCAUUAGUCAAGGACGAAAGUCGGGGAUCGAAGACGAUAGAUACCUCGU